UGGGGAAUAUUGCGCAAUGGGGGCAACCCUGACGCAGCAAUACCGCGUGAGUGAAGAAGGUUUUCGGAUCGUAAAGCUCUGUUAUUGGGGAAGAAAAAAAGACGGUACCCAAGAAGAAAGUUCCGGCUAACUACGUGCCAGCAGCCGCGGUAAUACGUAGGUUGCAAGCGUUGUCCGGAUUUACUGGGUGUAAAGGGCGUGUAGGCGGAGAUGCAAGUUGGGAGUGAAAUACCGGGGCUCAACCCCGGAACUGCUUUCAAAACUGUAUCCCUUGAGUGUCGGAGAGGCAAGCGGAAUUCCUAGUGUAGCGGUGAAAUGCGUAGAUAUUAGGAGGAACACCAGUGGCGAAGGCGGCUUGCUGGACGAUAACUGACGCUGAGGCGCGAAAGCGUGGGGAGCAAACAGG
RNAcentral lists this ribosomal RNA (406 nucleotides) under uncultured prokaryote. RNAcentral describes it as "bacterial SSU rRNA". It matches the Rfam family "Bacterial small subunit ribosomal RNA", at positions 355 to 776 of the family's 1533-position model. The record is from RNAcentral.